Molecule: ribosomal RNA, 965 nt
Filed under: Oceanobacillus sp. MMD27
Lineage: Bacteria; Bacillati; Bacillota; Bacilli; Caryophanales; Bacillaceae
Description: bacterial SSU rRNA
Rfam family: Bacterial small subunit ribosomal RNA
Source: RNAcentral
CGGGCCCGCGGCGCAUUAGCUAGUUGGUGAGGUAAAGGCUCACCAAGGCAACGAUGCGUAGCCGACCUGAGAGGGUGAUCGGCCACACUGGGACUGAGACACGGCCCAGACUCCUACGGGAGGCAGCAGUAGGGAAUCUUCCGCAAUGGACGAAAGUCUGACGGAGCAACGCCGCGUGAGUGAAGAAGGUUUUCGGAUCGUAAAACUCUGUUGUUAGGGAAGAACAAGUCAGGUAGUAACUGACCUGACCUUGACGGUACCUAACCAGAAAGCCACGGCUAACUACGUGCCAGCAGCCGCGGUAAUACGUAGGUGGCAAGCGUUGUCCGGAUUUAUUGGGCGUAAAGCGCUCGCAGGCGGUCUUUUAAGUCUGAUGUGAAAGCCCACGGCUUAACCGUGGAGGGUCAUUGGAACUGGAGGACUUGAGUGCAGAAGAGGAGAGUGGAAUUCCAUGUGUAGCGGUGAAAUGCGUAGAGAUAUGGAGGAACACCAGUGGCGAAGGCGACUCUCUGGUCUGUAACUGACGCUGAGGAGCGAAAGCGUGGGUAGCGAACAGGAUUAGAUACCCUGGUAGUCCACGCCGUAAACGAUGAGUGCUAGGUGUUAGGGGGUUUCCGCCCCUUAGUGCUGAAGUUAACGCAUUAAGCACUCCGCCUGGGGAGUACGGCCGCAAGGCUGAAACUCAAAAGAAUUGACGGGGACCCGCACAAGCGGUGAGCAUGUGGUUUAAUUCGAAGCAACGCGAAGAACCUUACCAGGUCUUGACAUCCUUUCGACCUCCCUAGAGAUAGGGAUUUCCCUUCGGGGACGAAAGUGACAGGUGGUGCAUGGUUGUCGUCAGCUCGUGUCGUGAGAUGUUGGGUUAAGUCCCGCAACGAGCGCAACCCUUGAUCUUAGUUGCCAGCAUUAAGUUGGGCACUCUAAGGUGACUGCCGGUGACAAACCGGAGGAAGGUGGGGAUGAUG